GUUCUGCACCCUCUAUACACACACCAGCCUGGAGCUGAUGGGUUUCUGGAGACUCUUUGUCCAAAGCAGGAAUCUCAUAGAGAUUCAUCAAUCAAUGCUGGUUUUGAGGUCCUGAUCAUCUGAAUGAAUUUAGCAAACUACAAGACAUGAAAUUACUAUGGUACAUCCAAGGGUGCCUAGAAUAAAGAGUGUCACACUCCUCCUAGGAGGAAAGAA
This 216-nucleotide long non-coding RNA is filed under the name Zonotrichia albicollis (white-throated sparrow). RNAcentral describes it as "lncRNA (ENSZALG00000011140.1)". Lineage: Eukaryota; Metazoa; Chordata; Aves; Passeriformes; Passerellidae. The record is from RNAcentral.